This 166-nucleotide ribosomal RNA is filed under the name uncultured bacterium. RNAcentral's name for it is "partial 16S rRNA". It matches the Rfam family "Bacterial small subunit ribosomal RNA", at positions 353 to 511 of the family's 1533-position model. The record is from RNAcentral.
GUAAGGGAAUCUUCCACAAUGGACGAAAGUCUGAUGGAGCAACGCCGCGUGAGUGAAGAAGGGUUUCGGCUCGUAAAACUCUGUUGUUAAAGAAGAACAUAUCUGAGAGUAACUGUUCAGGUAUUGACGGUAUUUAACCAGAAAGCCACGGCUAACUACGUGCCGG